UACGUAGGUGGCAAGCGUUGUCCGGAAUUACUGGGUGUAAAGGGCGUGUAGGCGGGGAUGCAAGUCAGAUGUGAAAUUCCGGGGCUCAACUCCGGAGCUGCAUCUGAAACUGUAUCUCUUGAGUGUUGGAGAGGAAAGUGGAAUUCCUAGUGUAGCGGUGAAAUGCAUAGAGAUUAGGAGGAACACCAGUGGCGAAGGCGGCUUUCUGGACAAUAACUGACGCUGAGGCGCGAAAGCGUGGGGAGCAAACAGGAUUAGA
This 259-nucleotide ribosomal RNA is filed under the name uncultured prokaryote. RNAcentral describes it as "partial 16S ribosomal RNA". It matches the Rfam family "Bacterial small subunit ribosomal RNA", at positions 524 to 782 of the family's 1533-position model. The record is from RNAcentral.